AUUGAACGCUGGCGGCAGGCCUAACACAUGCAAGUCGAGCGGAUGAAGGGAGCUUGCUCCUGGAUUCAGCGGCGGACGGGUGAGUAAUGCCUAGGAAUCUGCCUGGUAGUGGGGGAUAACGUCCGGGAACGGGCGCUAAUACCGCAUACGUCCUGAGGGAGAAAGUGGGGGAUCUUCGGACCGCACGCUAUCAGAUGAGCCUAGGUCGGAUUAGCUAGUUGGUGGGGGAAAGGCCUACCAAGGCGGCGACCCGUAACUGGUCUGAGAGGAUGAUCAGUCACACUGGAACGGAGACACGGUCCAGACUCCUACGGGAGGCAGCAGUGGGGAAUAUUGGACAGUGGGCGAAAGCCUGAUCCAGCCAUGCCGCGUGUGUGAAGAAGGUCUUCGGAUUGUAAAGCACUUUAAGUGUGGAGGAAGGGCAGUAAGUUAAUACGUUGCUGUUUUGACGGUACCAACAGAAUAAGCACCGGCUAACUUCGUG
This 484-nucleotide ribosomal RNA is filed under the name uncultured bacterium. RNAcentral describes it as "partial 16S ribosomal RNA". It matches the Rfam family "Bacterial small subunit ribosomal RNA", at positions 30 to 507 of the family's 1533-position model. The record is from RNAcentral.